RNAcentral lists this transfer RNA (69 nucleotides) under Rattus norvegicus (Norway rat). It matches the Rfam family "tRNA". Rfam says of the family: Transfer RNA (tRNA) molecules are approximately 80 nucleotides in length. Their secondary structure includes four short double-helical elements and three loops (D, anti-codon, and T loops). Further hydrogen bonds mediate the characteristic L-shaped molecular structure. tRNAs have two regions of fundamental functional importance: the anti-codon, which is responsible for specific mRNA codon recognition, and the 3' end, to which the tRNAs corresponding amino acid is attached (by aminoacyl-tRNA synthetases). tRNAs cope with the degeneracy of the genetic code in two manners: having more than one tRNA (with a specific anti-codon) for a particular amino acid; and 'wobble' base-pairing, i.e. permitting non-standard base-pairing at the 3rd anti-codon position. Lineage: Eukaryota; Metazoa; Chordata; Mammalia; Rodentia; Muridae. The record is from Rfam by way of RNAcentral.
GGGGACUUGGCUCAGUGGUAGAGCGCGUGCCUAGCAAGCGCAAGGCCCUGGGUUCGAUCCCCAGCUCCA